This 253-nucleotide ribosomal RNA is filed under the name uncultured bacterium. RNAcentral's name for it is "partial 16S ribosomal RNA". It matches the Rfam family "Bacterial small subunit ribosomal RNA", at positions 524 to 776 of the family's 1533-position model. The record is from RNAcentral.
UACGGAGGGUGCGAGCGUUGUCCGGAAUUAUUGGGCGUAAAGAGCUCGUAGGCGGUGUGUCGCGUCGGCCGUGAAAACCUGCAGCUUAACUGUGGGCGUGCGGUUGAUACGGGUUGGCUGGAGUUCGGUAGGGGAGACUGGAAUUCCUGGUGUAGCGGUGAAAUGCGCAGAUAUCAGGAGGAACACCGGUGGCGAAGGCGGGUCUCUGGGCCGAUACUGACGCUGAGGAGCGAAAGCGUGGGGAGCGAACAGG